This 206-nucleotide ribosomal RNA is filed under the name uncultured bacterium. Its description in RNAcentral is "partial 16S ribosomal RNA". It matches the Rfam family "Bacterial small subunit ribosomal RNA", at positions 568 to 774 of the family's 1533-position model. The record is from RNAcentral.
AGCGCAGACGGUUUAUUAAGUCUGAUGUGAAAGCCCGGAGCUCAACUCCGGAAUGGCAUUGGAAACUGGUUAACUUGAGUGCAGUAGAGGUAAGUGGAACUCCAUGUGUAGCGGUGGAAUGCGUAGAUAUAUAGAAGAACACCAGUGGCGAAGGCGGCUUACUGGACUGCAACUGACGUUGAGGCUCGAAAGUGUGGUAGCAAACA